UAAUAAUUCAUUCUUUGAAACUUUUGAAAUUAGACGUUGUGUUACUAUAGUGACAGUACUCUAAAUUCUUUUAUCAGGCUGAUGAUCCUUUUGGGCAUCAUCAUGUUUUAUAAUUUAUUAUCAAAACCUUUUCUAAAAUUGACAAAAUACAUCGUCAUUUUGUGACAGAAGUGAUAUUUGGACAGAAAUUGAAUAAGUUGUUACGGCAGAAAACCGUGCCAUUAAAAUGCAAUGGAAUGUACUGUAUGUCACCCGGUGCCUAUUUUCGGUAUUACGCCUAAACAAAAUCUAAUGGGAACUUAAAAUUUUUGUGAUAACUUCAAAUUUGGAGCACAGCUGGGUUAAAUAUGUGGCUUUGGUUUUUAUAGUAAAAGAUAUUUUGUGAAAUAUAUAUUUUAUAUAAAAGAAAAAACAUUAAGUACAGUAUAUUUGAUUUACUGUAAAACUUAAACCUCAUACUGCAAUUUUUUGAAGCGCUUUCACUAAUAAUAUAAUCUGCUGAAUGUCUUGUUUAAAACAAGACCAAACUUGGGUCUAUAUUCCAAAGCCUUCUUGAAUUACAACCAUUUAAGUCUGAAUAGUGCAUUUUAAUGAGCAUUCUCAAAAAUGGGGGUGACCGUUAACAGGAUAAGGAUUAAUAGAUCUUUUUGGGAAUUGGCAUGCUUGAUUUGUUGCCUCAGAUUAAAUGAAGAGAAAUAACAAUAGUGAAUUGUAGGAAUAUCAUGGCUUUAGUAUUGCGAUAGCAUCUAGCUCCAGAUGUGGUCAAGAUAAACUGAGUUUCUUCACAGCUUGUAGAGAAUGGCUUUAUGUAGAAUCAAGUGUAACAGUUUCUUAAACAUACUGUUAAUUCCAUCAUGCCUCUGUCCUGUUUAGAUUGGGUUUAGAUGUCGAUAUAUGUAAUUUUAUUACCUUUUAUAUGAUUUGUUUUUGUCUAGAUAAUUCCAGAGAAACUCAAUAGGUAACAUCCCUCAUUUUUGUUGUAUAAAUUUUGACAUUCUUGAAUGUUUGCUAGUUGCACAUUGUGAGAGAUGGAUUAUGAUAAUUACAUUAUGACAUUCUUUGACAAUGUGCUCAUUGUGAAAAUCCGUCGAAAUGCUGGUCUUGUGGUUUAAAGAGUUGUGAAGUGUUUAGCUCUUUAUAGUCAAUGCCAUCACUCAUCACUGUCCCUCAGCAACAUCUCCACUGUCCUUAUCUCAUUCCGUGACAUGGCAGCCACUUUGGAUUGUCAGGAGAGGUGCCUCUUAUCUGCCGAGUUCAGAAGAUUUCCGUGAGAAUCCCUUAAGAAAUGCUUGAAAAGAAGCCUUGGAAUGGAGUCGAAAUCCCCGAGGAUUUAUCUGCCAGAGGUAUCCUGUAUCUGGGAGGCCUGGGGAGCACCCUUUGUGUCUGUUUUUCAGGUAUGUCUGUGUGAGACGGUGGAUUUAAAGAAUAAAGUGGAACAGAUGACGCGAUUCCCAUUCUGUCUUGUUGGUGAGAGCUUGGCAGGUGGAUGGGGGUCACUUAGCCUGGCUAUCACACAGACUGGAGCAAAGGUGAUGGGAGAACAAAUGGCCGAGUGAGCAGACUCUCUUUGGAAUCAGGUAUCAAGAGGAUAACCACCACCGUGUCAAAGGGAGCCACCGCUG
Pimephales promelas (fathead minnow) is the source of this 1622-nucleotide non-coding RNA. Lineage: Eukaryota; Metazoa; Chordata; Actinopteri; Cypriniformes; Leuciscidae. The record is from RefSeq and is a predicted model, not a curated record.